GAUGAACGCUGGCGGCGUGCCUAAUACAUGCAAGUCGAGCGAACAGACGAGGAGCUUGCUCCUCUGACGUUAGCGGCGGACGGGUGAGUAACACGUGGAUAACCUACCUAUAAGACUGGGAUAACUUCGGGAAACCGGAGCUAAUACCGGAUAAUAUAUUGAACCGCAUGGUUCAAUAGUGAAAGACGGUUUUGCUGUCACUUAUAGAUGGAUCCGCGCCGCAUUAGCUAGUUGGUAAGGUAACGGCUUACCAAGGCAACGAUGCGUAGCCGACCUGAGAGGGUGAUCGGCCAGACUGGAACUGAGACACGGUCCAGACUCCUACGGGAGGCAGCAGUAGGGAAUCUUCCGCAAUGGGCGAAAGCCUGACGGAGCAACGCCGCGUGAGUGAUGAAGGUCUUCGGAUCGUAAAACUCUGUUAUUAGGGAAGAACAAAUGUGUAAGUAACUAUGCACGUCUUGACGGUACCUAAUCAGAAAGCCACGGCUAACUACGUG
RNAcentral lists this ribosomal RNA (497 nucleotides) under uncultured bacterium. Its description in RNAcentral is "partial 16S ribosomal RNA". It matches the Rfam family "Bacterial small subunit ribosomal RNA", at positions 28 to 507 of the family's 1533-position model. The record is from RNAcentral.